UCAACUAGGAGGGUUUCAUUUUAUCCAACCAUGUUCACUAUACCAAGCAAUGAAGUCAAGAAUGGGUAGUGAGCUCGAUAUGGAUUGGAUUCGAUGCCCGAUAAGAUUGUGGAUGCCAGUUUGCCGGCCAAUGGUUGAGUGGUAUGUGAUGCGCACAAUCAAUGUCAGAUGAACCUCCAGGUGGAUUGCAUGGAUGGUUGUAGCUUGAUAUGAUCUCAGGAUGGCCAAUAAGUAAAGAUGUAAUUAACAGUCCAGGGCAGCUGGUAAGAAAGAGCUAAUAGCUUGUCCGAGAAUCACACAACUGGAUUGUUAUGGACUCUCAUCAACUUCUCUAUAUAAACCAUGUCCGGGGACUCCAGUCAAAUCGUACAUCAUGGAGACCAGUGCAACCUUAGCCGAGCAAUCUCUGUAAGCGCCAAUUUUAUGCUAGUUUCAUCAGGUCGGAUUUCGGACGGUAAUAGAGCUUUUAUAUGGUAAGUAGAUCGCCCACUUGUAGGUUAAAAUAUAAACACAAUGGCGGUAUAAAAAUGAAUGGCAAAAAUAUCAACAUGGGGUCAGGGUUUGUUGGAACUUGUAACCAUGUACGUAAAUAUCGCUCAUGAUGGCCUGGCUUUCUUGAACGAAAACAUGCUUGGAUUUGGCUGAGGUGCAGUUGGUCGAAGUCCUUUUAAGGACUCAUGCUUGGUUUUGCUUUCAAGUAAAUUCAAUUUGAUUUUUAUGUAUAUGUCUGCUACGUUCCACUGAGACUCCUACUAUCUCCCAUAAAUAUAUAUUUGCAAGAACUACAAGGAUCAUAUUGAGGUACUCCAUUAUUGUCAAAUUUCAUUGCACCCCGACCUUUCUCUAUUAAAAGGAGGAGUAUAGCACGGAAUAUCAUCAAAUUAUUUAGGCUGGGCGAAGGAACCGGGUAGAAGAGGCCGAACUAUUUGUUAUAAUCAUGGUUGUCUGUGUAUAGGCUUUUUACAAGGUCAUGCAGCAGGCUUUCUAUGGAGAACACAAUGUCCAUAUUCUACACCUGCUAUUGUGCAAUACAUGAACUCCUAUGAUUUUGUCAAACUGUACCUCUCUAUUAUGACAUCAAACUGCCUCCAUGGGACAAAUGCUUGGUGGCUCGAACCGAUUCAGUGUAUUAAUUCUUGGAGCCAACAUCUCUUCGUGUCGGAAAUCUUCACAUGCCAUUUGACCUGCAGCACAUGUUAGCUCAAAAGUUACAACAUUAUUGGUUUAUCAAUCAUUGUUUGGGCAUGAAAUGUGGAUGAUUCAAAAAGAUGAAAUCGUGGUCAACUUUGAUCAAGGAGGAUGUAGAUGAGACUUCUUGUAUAAAAAAUUGUUACUGCUGCAAAUGAAUUUCUUAGAAAAAUGAUUUUCUAAGUAGGCAACAAAACAAUGUUUCAGGGUUAUGGGGAAGGAUCUUAGGGUCCAUUGAUGCCUCAAGUAACCGUCUAAAUAAAAUAUUUAACUAUCAAAAUGUUAUUAAGA
Molecule: non-coding RNA, 1479 nt
Organism: Elaeis guineensis (African oil palm)
Lineage: Eukaryota; Viridiplantae; Streptophyta; Magnoliopsida; Arecales; Arecaceae
Source: RefSeq, a predicted model, not a curated record